CCUACGGGUGGCAGCAGUGGGGAAUAUUGGACAAUGGAGGAAACUCUGACCCAGCAACGCCGCGUGAAUGAUGAAGUUCUUCGGAUUGUAAAGUUCUUUUCUAAGGGAAGAAGAAAGUGACGGUACCUUAGGAAUAAGCGUCUGCUAACUACGUACCAGCAGCCGCGGUAAGACGUAGGAGGCAAGCGUUAUCCGGAAUGACUGGGCGUAAGGGGUGCGUAGGUUGUUUGACAAGUUGGUAGCGUAACUCCGGGGCUGAACCUCGGCAAUACUACCAAAACUGUAGGACUUGAGUGCAGGAGGGGCAAAUGGAAUUCCUAGUGUAGCGGGGGAAUGCGUAGAUAUGAGGAGGAACACCAGUGGCGAAGGCGAUUUGCUGGACUGUAACUGACACUGAGGCACGAAAGCGUGGGGAGCAAACAGGAUUAGAUACCCGAGUAGUC
RNAcentral lists this ribosomal RNA (443 nucleotides) under uncultured bacterium. RNAcentral describes it as "partial 16S ribosomal RNA". It matches the Rfam family "Bacterial small subunit ribosomal RNA", at positions 338 to 795 of the family's 1533-position model. The record is from RNAcentral.